This 433-nucleotide ribosomal RNA is filed under the name uncultured bacterium. RNAcentral describes it as "partial 16S ribosomal RNA". It matches the Rfam family "Bacterial small subunit ribosomal RNA", at positions 29 to 507 of the family's 1533-position model. The record is from RNAcentral.
AACGAACGCUGGCGGCAUGCCUAACACAUGCAAGUCGAACGAGACCUUCGUGUCUAGUGGCGCACGGGUGCGUAACGCGUGGGAACCUGCCCUUAGGUUCGGAAUAACUCCCCGAAAGGGGUGCUAAUACAGGAUAAUGUCUUCGGACCAAAGAUUUGUCGCCUUUGGAUGGGCCCGCGUUGGUUUAGCUAGUUGGUAGGGUAAAAGCCUACCAAGGCGACGAUCCAUAGCUGGUCUGAGAGGAUGGUCAGCCACACUGGGACUGAGACACGGCCCAGACUCCUACGGGAGGCAGCAGUGGGGGAUAUUGGACAAUGGGCGAAAGCCUGAUCCAGCAAUGCCGCGUGAGUGAUGAAGGCCUUAGGGUUGUAAAGCUCUUUUACCCGGGAUGAUAAUGACAGUACCGGGAGAAUAAGCUCCGGCUAACUCCGUG